AGCAGCCGCGGUAAUUCCAGCUCCAAUAGCGUAUAUUAAAGUUGUUGCAGUUAAAAAGCUCGUAGUUGAAUUUCGGGGUUAGUAGGUUGGUCAUGCCUCUGGUAUGUACUGGUCUCACUGAUUCCUCCUUCCUGAUGAGCCGUAAUGCCAUUAAUUUGGUGUUGCGGGGAAUUUGGACUGUUACUUUGAAAAAAUUAGAGUGUUUAAAGCAAGCUAACGCUUGAAUACAUUAGCAUGGAAUAAUGAAAUAGGACGUUCGAUCCUAUUUUGUUGGUUUCUAGGAUUGACGUAAUGAUUAAUAGGGAUAGUUGGGGGCAUUAGUAUUCAAUUGUCAGAGGUGAAAUUCUUGGAUUUAUUGAAGACUAACUACUGCGAAAGCAUUUGCCAAGGAUGUUUUCAUUAAUCAAGAACGAAAGUUAGGGGAUCGAAGACGAUCAGAUACCGUCGUAGUCUUAACCAUAAACUAUGCCGACUAGGGAUCGGAUGAUGUUAAUUUUUAA
RNAcentral lists this ribosomal RNA (500 nucleotides) under uncultured Glomus. Its description in RNAcentral is "SSU rRNA". It matches the Rfam family "Eukaryotic small subunit ribosomal RNA", at positions 569 to 1073 of the family's 1831-position model. The record is from RNAcentral. Lineage: Eukaryota; Fungi; Glomeromycota; Glomeromycetes; Glomerales; Glomeraceae.